UUCAGUUGCCCUCUGAAGCUAAGCAGGGUUGAGCCUGGUCAGUACCUGGAUGAGAGACCUCCUGGGAAAACUAGGUUGCUGUUGGAA
This 87-nucleotide ribosomal RNA is filed under the name Sinocyclocheilus rhinocerous. Lineage: Eukaryota; Metazoa; Chordata; Actinopteri; Cypriniformes; Cyprinidae. The record is from RNAcentral.